UUAAAUAAAAUAAAAAUAAGUGUUAAAAAGUUAAAUUAGGUAUAAACCAUAUUGAACCGAUGACGCCUCUUAGGGGUUUGGACGUUGUGUCCAAUUAGUUAACAC
This 105-nucleotide small RNA is filed under the name Arabidopsis thaliana (thale cress). Its description in RNAcentral is "ATSL003230". The record is from RNAcentral. Lineage: Eukaryota; Viridiplantae; Streptophyta; Magnoliopsida; Brassicales; Brassicaceae.